This 465-nucleotide ribosomal RNA is filed under the name Weissella confusa. Its description in RNAcentral is "bacterial SSU rRNA". It matches the Rfam family "Bacterial small subunit ribosomal RNA", at positions 338 to 795 of the family's 1533-position model. The record is from RNAcentral. Lineage: Bacteria; Bacillati; Bacillota; Bacilli; Lactobacillales; Lactobacillaceae.
CCUACGGGGGGCAGCAGUGGGGAAUUUUGGACAAUGGGCGCAAGCCUGAUCCAGCCAUUCCGCGUGAGUGAAGAAGGCCUUCGGGUUGUAAAGCUCUUUCGCAAGGGAAGAAAACUUAUCCUCUAACAUAGGAUGAGGUUGACGGUACCUUGAUAAGAAGCACCGGCUAACUACGUGCCAGCAGCCGCGGUAAUACGUAGGGUGCGAGCGUUAAUCGGAAUUACUGGGCGUAAAGCGUGCGCAGGCGGUUUGGUAAGUCAGAUGUGAAAUCCCCGAGCUCAACUUGGGAACUGCGUUUGAAACUACCAAGCUAGAAUAUGUCAGAGGGGGGUAGAAUUCCACGUGUAGCAGUGAAAUGCGUAGAGAUGUGGAGGAAUACCAAUGGCGAAGGCAGCCCCCUGGGAUAAUAUUGACGCUCAUGCACGAAAGCGUGGGGAGCAAACAGGAUUAGAUACCCGAGUAGUC